AGCAGUAGCCGCGGGAAUACGAAGGGGGCUAGCGUUGUUCGGAUUUACUGGGCGUAAAGGGCGCGUAGGCGGGCGAAUCAGUCAGGGGUGAAAUCCCAAGGCUCAACCUUGGAACUGCCUUUGAUACUGUUUGUCUUGAGUUCGAGAGAGGUAAGUGGAACUGCGAGUGUAGAGGUGAAAUUCGUAGAUAUUCGCAAGAACACCAGUGGCGAAGGCGGCUUACUGGCUCGAAACUGACGCUGAGGCGCGAAAGCGUGGGGAGCAAACAGGAUUAGAUACCCCCGUAGUCCCUGUCUCUUAUAC
RNAcentral lists this ribosomal RNA (303 nucleotides) under uncultured bacterium. RNAcentral describes it as "partial 16S ribosomal RNA". It matches the Rfam family "Bacterial small subunit ribosomal RNA", at positions 507 to 807 of the family's 1533-position model. The record is from RNAcentral.